GAUGAACGCUGGCGGCGUGCUUAACACAUGCAAGUCGAACGGUGAAGGCGGAGCUUGCUCUGCUGGAUCAGUGGCGAACGGGUGAGUAACACGUGAGCAAUCUGCCCCUGACUCUGGGAUAAGCGCUGGAAACGGCGUCUAAUACUGGAUACGAGCUGCGAAGGCAUCUUCAGCAGCUGGAAAGAACUUCGGUCAGGGAUGAGCUCGCGGCCUAUCAGCUUGUUGGUGAGGUAACGGCUCACCAAGGCGUCGACGGGUAGCCGGCCUGAGAGGGUGACCGGCCACACUGGGACUGAGACACGGCCCAGACUCCUUCGGGAGGCAGCAGUGGGGAAUAUUGCACAAUGGGCGAAAGCCUGAUGCAGCAACGCCGCGUGAGGGACGACGGCCUUCGGGUUGUAAACCUCUUUUAGCAGGGAAGAAGCGAAAGUGACGGUACCUGCAGAAAAAGCGCCGGCUAACUACGUG
This 468-nucleotide ribosomal RNA is filed under the name uncultured bacterium. Its description in RNAcentral is "partial 16S ribosomal RNA". It matches the Rfam family "Bacterial small subunit ribosomal RNA", at positions 28 to 507 of the family's 1533-position model. The record is from RNAcentral.